AAAAAAUCUAGUAAGGUUUUUAAUUGUGAUGGUUUAUCAAAUUCAUCGAUUAAUUACUGUUGUAUGUUAAAAUUGAACACAGGCCUUUUCUACUUAUUAAUAAUGUCCUUUAGAUGUCUUUUUUGUAAGAUUUUGUGGCAACUGAAUGAGAAUUUAAAAAAGAAAAUUUAGUAAGAUCUUUAAUUGCAAUGAUUUAUAAAUUUCAUUGUUGACAUUGUAAUGUUUUAAAUCAUGAAGAAUUUAUCACUAUGUAAUAACUCCUAAAUUUUCAGGGUGCUGUGGAAAUUAUCCCUAUUUUAUUCUUGCCUUUGCUUACUGCCAAAAACCAGCCUUUGCCCACAACUAAAGUGCUUAACUCAUUUUAUAUUUCUGGAGGUGAAU
RNAcentral lists this unclassified non-coding RNA (381 nucleotides) under Hevea brasiliensis (rubber tree). Lineage: Eukaryota; Viridiplantae; Streptophyta; Magnoliopsida; Malpighiales; Euphorbiaceae. The record is from RNAcentral.